GCCCUUAGAGUUUGAUCCUGGAUCAGGACGAACGCUGGCGGCGAGCUUAACACAUGCAAGUCGAACGAAGAGCGAUGGAAGCUUGCAUCUAUCAAUCUUAGAGGCGAACGGGUGAGUAACGCGUAAUCAACCUGCCCUUCAGAGGGGGACAACAGUUGGAAACGACUGCUAAUACCGCAUACGAUCCAAUCUCGGCAUCGAGGAUGGAUGAAAGGUGGCCUCUAUUUAUAAGCUAUCACUGAAGGAGGGGAUUGCGUCUCAUUAGCUAGUUGGAGGGGUAACGGCCCACCAAGGCGAUGAUCAGUAGCCGGUCUGAGAGGAUGAACGGCCACAUUGGGACUGAGACACGGCCCAGACUCCUACGGGAGGCAGCAGUGGGGAAUCUUCCGCAAUGGACGAAAAUCUGACGGAGCAACGCCGCGUGAGUGAUGACGGCCUACGGGUUGUAAAGCUCUGUUAAUCGGGACGAAAGGCCUUCUUGCGAAUAGUUAGAAGGAUUGACGGUACCGGAAUAGAAAGCCACGGCUAACUACGUGCCAGCAGCCGCGGUAAUACGUAGGUGGCAAGCGUUGUCCGGAAUUAUUGGGCGUAAAGCGCGCGCAGGCGGAUUGGUCAGUCUGUCUUAAAAGUUCGGGGCUUAACCCCGUGAUGGGAUGGAAACUGCCAAUCUAGAGUAUCGGGGAGGAAAGUGGAAUUCCUAGUGUAGCGGUGAAAUGCGUAGAUAUUAGGAAGAACACCAGUGGCGAAGGCGACUUUCUGGACGAAAACUGACGCUGAGGCGCGAAAGCCAGGGGAGCGAACAGGAUUCGAUACCCCGGUAGUCCUGGCC
RNAcentral lists this ribosomal RNA (829 nucleotides) under uncultured organism. RNAcentral's name for it is "SSU rRNA". It matches the Rfam family "Bacterial small subunit ribosomal RNA", at positions 1 to 801 of the family's 1533-position model. The record is from RNAcentral.